RNAcentral lists this ribosomal RNA (465 nucleotides) under uncultured bacterium. RNAcentral describes it as "partial 16S ribosomal RNA". It matches the Rfam family "Bacterial small subunit ribosomal RNA", at positions 28 to 507 of the family's 1533-position model. The record is from RNAcentral.
GAUGAACGCUGGCGGCGUGCUUAACACAUGCAAGUCGAACGGAAAGGCGCAAGAUUGCUUGGGUCCUCGAGUGGCGAACGGGUGAGUAACACGUGGGUGAUCUGCCCUGCACUUCGGGAUAAGCCUGGGAAACCGGGUCUAAUACCGGAUAGGACCACAUUAUGGAGGGAGUGGAGGAAAGUGUUUCGGUGUGGGAUGAGCUCGCGGCCUAUCAGCUUGUUGGUGGGGAAAUGGCCUACCAAGGCGACGACGGGUAGCCGGCCUGGGAGGGUGUACGGCCACAUUGGGACUGCGAUACGGCCCAGACUCCUACGGGAGGCAGCAGUGGGGAAUAUUGCACAAUGGGCGCAAGCCUGAUGCAGCGACGCCGCGUGGGUGAUGACGUCCUGCGGGUUGUAAACUCCUUUCGCUAGGGACGAAGCGCAAGUGACGGUACCUGGAGAAGAAGCACCGGCUAACUACGUG